Molecule: ribosomal RNA, 447 nt
Filed under: uncultured bacterium
Lineage: Bacteria
Description: bacterial SSU rRNA
Rfam family: Bacterial small subunit ribosomal RNA
Source: RNAcentral
UUACCAGACUCCUACGGGAGGCAGCAGUAGGAAAUUUUGCGCAAUGGGGGAAACCCUGACGCAGCAACGCCGCGUGAUUGAUGAAGCCCUUCGGGGUGUAAAGAUCUGUCAGUGGGGACGAAACUUGACGGUACCCACAGAGGAAGCAUCGGCUAACUCCGUGCCAGCAGCCGCGGUAAUACGGAGGAUGCGAGCGUUAUCCGGAUUUAUUGGGUUUAAAGGGUGCGCAGGCGGGCUGUUAAGCCGGCGGUAAAAAUUCAGGGCUCAACCCUGUCGAGCCGUCGGAACUGGCUGUCUUGAGAUGUCGAGAGGUAUGCGGAAUGCGCAGUGUAGCGGUGAAAUGCUUAGAUAUUGCGCAGAACUCCGAUUGCGAAGGCAGCAUACCGGCGGCGAUCUGACGCUAAGGCACGAAAGCGUGGGUAUCGAACAGGAUUAGAUACCCUAGUA